UACGUAGGGUGCAAGCGUUUAAUCGGAAUUACUGGGCGUAAAGCGUGCGCAGGCGGUUUUGUAAGUUUGUCGUGAAAUCCCCGGGCUCAACCUGGGAAUGGCGAUGAAGACUGCAAGGCUAGAAUCUGGCAGAGGGGGGUAGAAUUCCACGUGUAGCAGUGAAAUGCGUAGAGAUGUGGAGGAACACCGAUGGCGAAGGCAGCCCCCUGGGUCAAGAUUGACGCUC
This 226-nucleotide ribosomal RNA is filed under the name uncultured bacterium. Its description in RNAcentral is "partial 16S ribosomal RNA". It matches the Rfam family "Bacterial small subunit ribosomal RNA", at positions 524 to 748 of the family's 1533-position model. The record is from RNAcentral.